UACGAAGGGUGCAAGCGUUACUCGGAAUUACUGGGCGUAAAGCGUGCGCAGGCGGUUCGUCAAGUCUUGUGUGAAAGCCCCGGGCUCAACCUGGGAAUGGCAUGGGAAACUGGCGAGCUGGAGUGCGGCAGAGGGGGGUGGAAUUCCGCGUGUAGCAGUGAAAUGCGUAGAGAUGCGGAGGAGCACCGAUGGCGAAGGCAGCCCCCUGGGUCGACACUGACGCUCAGGCACGAAAGCGUGGGGAGCAAACAGG
RNAcentral lists this ribosomal RNA (253 nucleotides) under uncultured bacterium. RNAcentral describes it as "partial 16S ribosomal RNA". It matches the Rfam family "Bacterial small subunit ribosomal RNA", at positions 524 to 776 of the family's 1533-position model. The record is from RNAcentral.